Xenia sp. Carnegie-2017 is the source of this 2290-nucleotide long non-coding RNA. RefSeq lists it as uncharacterized. The transcript has 2 exons. NCBI's taxonomy places the organism in Eukaryota, Metazoa, Cnidaria, Anthozoa, Malacalcyonacea, Xeniidae. The record is from RefSeq and is a predicted model, not a curated record.
UGUCUGCUUGUUGUUUGGCACAACACAAAAGCAGUAGAAAUAUUAAAUUAUCGUCGUAUACGUGGACAAACGAAGGUAAUUUUAUCAUUUCAAGUCAAAAGAAAUCUGUUCUCGUUGCAUCAAGUAUGGAAUGUUUAGCAACAAUUCCUACGCAGAUAAUCCACCGCGAAUUAGUAAAGAUAAUCUUUUCAUGAUCAUCGCACUCUGGAUGGAAGAUUUUGUCACCCGUGAAGAAGCCAAAAUCGAUGAGAAUACUAACCAAGUUGGGGCAGUAUUAGUAUCUGCUGACGACGAGAUAUACGCAGCUGACUGUUCACGAGAGGGAGUUUAUGCCGUUGCUAGAUUAUUAAUAAAACAUUCAGAAAAAACGAAAGGCUCCAAAAUCUUCAUGUCUCGAUAACCUUGCCAUUUUUGUGCGAAACUUCUCGUUUAAACAGAGGUUCAACGUGUGUUUUAUCUUCCCUUUCAUCCAGAGUAUUAUGUUUCAUCCAACGAAAGUAAAAUGGGCGAAGUCGAUGAGAUGUUUAAGUCAAGCUCAAUCUCUGCAUCAUUGUUUGUAUUUGAAAUAGAAAAGAGCGUCCUUGAACACGAAAAACUAAACAGGCGUUCGUUGAGGAAAUGUGAUAUUAAUCGGAUUAAAAGAACGUUUGAGCUUAAUCAAUGGAAAUCAGUUUGGCUCACCAAGAAGCAUGGAGAGCCGUGUGCGAAAAUCAAACGCGAGCUUCCCUGGCCAAUAUUUGAUUUUGGAAUUUCCGAAGCGUCAAAAAUCAAUUCGACGAUGUAAUAGAAUGGAUGGCAAUGGUUAUAUAUGCGAGUGGAAGGUCUUUAAAAGGCAAUUUCCGGUACUGUCCUCUUAUGCCACAGGACAUUGAAUUUAGCUCUUCAAGUAAAACACAUCCAUUGAGUGAUUUGACCCUACAAAGGAGAGCUGUCGACAGAAAGCUAAUCAUUUAAUAAUUCUUGCAAGUUUUCUUACUCAACGAACAGAUGAUCCAAAAACAGGAGUGGCGGGUGGUUUGACCCACGUACGAUGCGGAGCAGCAUCGACACUUGAAAGAAUAGACAACAUUUGAUUUCAUGACAAAGGCAAUUGAUUUGUGUGCGGAUUUGGGAUGAGUGUAAACCAGCAAAUGGAAGGCCGUAAUGCAGUAUUUUCUUGGGUAUGGUGGUUUGGGUUGAAAGACUUAGUCAAGAAACAUUUUUACACAGUGAUCAAAUAUGUGGCAGGGAAGUGAAUUGGAAAUAAAUAAUCUGCGUACUUUUUCGAUUUCAAUAUGGAAGUUUUCAUAAGUGGAGCAAAUAUUAAAAAAGCGAUGAACUAAACAUAAUAUUAUACUGCGUUUAUAUGUUAGUGGGAUGAAGUUGUGGAAAUUAGUAAAAAGACCAGUGAACGUAGGUUUUCUGUAUAUGGACGUGAAGAAGUUUCCAUUAGAGCGAUGAACAGUGAUGUCAAGAAAUGGAAGUUUUCGAUUGUGUUCGAUUUCACUCGUAAACUUAAUAUUGGGGUGUUUGUGGUUUGAUAUUUAUAUUAAGAAUUUGAUAUUUAUAUUCUUUAAAUAUUUAAGAAUAUAUUCUUAAAUAUUUAUAUUAAGAAUUUGCUUCCCGCCCGGUAUAUCCCUGGUCACAGUUAUGAAUAUGUGCAUGUAUUUUUAAAGUUUGUUUAUGAGAACAAGAUGAACCAUUUCAUAGCUGGACAAUUUUUUUAUUCUAUUUUUAUUUCAUUGUGAUAGUGACGAUAUAUAUAUCUAGUUUUUGAGCAGGUGAGCGGGAUGAUUGAUUAUGAUGUUUGGAGUCUAAACCUUUCAAAAUACUUUGUAAACAUUCCGCACAUUGCUAAAACAUUGGUAGUUUUGAUGAUAAAGUAGUUUUUUAACUUUUCACUUUUUUGCUAAUCUAUAUAUUUGUAAAUUUUUACAAAAUGCUAGCUUUUAUUACUAAAACAUGCAAACACAUGCCGAAAAGCCUACCGGGAGUGUGUAUACCAACAGUUGCAAUCUCAUGUUUGUGUAUGUAGAUCGUGCAAGUCAGUGGAGCUCUGAGUUAGUGUUGGUAUAGAAUGACGAUUCAUCAAUUUUUAUUGCGAGAGUCAUCUCUAGAAUCAAGAAUUGCAACUUCUUUUCAUCACAUCAGUAAAACUGCAAACGGAAAAUAACGAGAUAACAAACUCAUUAUACAGCUUCAGUAAAACAGUUAUGUAAUUGUUUUGCUGUGAUUGAUAGAAUUUCUCUUCCAUAUGCCUGUGAAUAUGUAAUAAUUUAAAUAUUAAUCAAUUAGUUUCUCUGUCAUCGUA